RNAcentral lists this unclassified non-coding RNA (1373 nucleotides) under Hevea brasiliensis (rubber tree). The record is from RNAcentral. Lineage: Eukaryota; Viridiplantae; Streptophyta; Magnoliopsida; Malpighiales; Euphorbiaceae.
UUUCUUUCUCUUCUGCAAAUUUGAUAUUACAACAUGAGCUGGUGGUGGGCUGGAGCUAUUGGUGCUGCUAAGAAAAAAUUCGAAGAUGAUGAAGCACCACCAAAGUAUGAAAGUGUUGCUCUAAUUAUAGGAGUCACCGGCAUCGUUGGUAAUAGCCUCGCCGAGAUCCUCCCUCUCGCUGACACUCCCGGUGGUCCAUGGAAGGUAUACGGCGUUGCACGACGGGCUAGGCCAUCGUGGAACGCCGAUCAUCCUAUUGAGUAUGUCCAAUGCGACAUAUCAAAUCCUGAGGAUACCCAAUCUAAACUAUCUGUUCUCACUGAUGUAACCCAUGUUUUCUAUGUGACUUGGGCUAAUAGAUCUACAGAGGUUGAAAAUUGUGAAAUCAAUGGAAAAAUGUUCAGGAAUGUUCUUAAUGUUAUUAUCCCUAAUUGUCCUAACUUGCGGCAUAUCUGUUUGCAAACGGGUCGGAAACAUUAUUUGGGUCCGUUUGAAUUGUAUGGAAAAGUAAGCCAUGAUCCUCCAUUUCAUGAGGAUUUACCCAGAUUAGAUGCCCCCAAUUUCUAUUAUGUUCUUGAGGAUAUUUUGUUUAAGGAGGUGGAGAAGAAGGAAGGGUUGACGUGGUCAGUUCAUCGGCCAGGGACCAUAUUUGGGUUUUCUCCUUAUAGUUUGAUGAAUAUUGUUGGAACACUCUGUGUUUAUGCAGCUAUAUGUAAACAUGAAGGGUUGCCAUUGAAGUUUCCUGGUGUUAAAGGAGCGUGGGAUGGAUACUCGGAUUGCUCUGAUGCGGAUUUGAUUGCCGAGCAUCAGAUAUGGGCUGCAGUGGAUCCUUAUGCCAAGAAUGAGGCGUUUAAUGUGAGCAAUGGGGAUGUUUUCAAGUGGAAGCAUUUCUGGAAGGUUUUGGGUGAGCAAUUUGGACUGGAAGCUGCGGAGUUUGAUGAAGGGAAGAGAUGCACAUUGGUAGAGAUGAUGAAAGACAAAGGCGCGGUUUGGGAUGAGAUUGUGAAGGAGAAUGGAUUGGUGCCUACUAAAUUGGAGGAGGUUGGAGUUUGGUGGUUUGUUGAUCUUAUCCUUUCUGGAGAUUGCGCUUUGGAUACUAUGAACAAGAGCAAGGAGCACGGUUUCUUGGGAUUCCGGAACUCACAAAAAGCCUUCAUUUCCUGGAUUGAUAAGGUGAAAGCUUACAAAGUUGUUCCUUAGUUUUGAUAUUCGUUUUUAUUUUUACUGUGUGAUAAAAUGCUUGAGUUUGUUUCCUGUCUAUCUAUCGAUUAUGUUGUUUAAUAAGAAGUAAUAAUAGCAAAAUGAAGCUAUUUCUAGCUUGAAACAAUGUACACUUUUGACUUCUUUGUUGUUGUGCUGUAAUUAUCCAUUUG